AAAAUCGGCAUCUUCUUGAGGUAGAUAGAGCUCUUCUUUUCCAAAUGAAUGUUUCUAAAUAUUUUGGGGCCAAUGCCGUCUCUACAACAUGCUUUUUGAUUAAUCGUACGCCAUCUUCUCUCCUUGAUGGGGACAUUCCUUAUACUGUUUUGUUUCCGUCUAAAUCUUUAUUUCUUGUUGAACCUCAUAUUUUUGGAUAUACUUGUUUUGUGCAUGAUAUUCGUCCACAGGUUUCCAAAUUGGAUCCAAAGUCUCUUAAA
This 260-nucleotide unclassified non-coding RNA is filed under the name Hevea brasiliensis (rubber tree). The record is from RNAcentral. Lineage: Eukaryota; Viridiplantae; Streptophyta; Magnoliopsida; Malpighiales; Euphorbiaceae.